AAUAUUGCACAAUGGGGGAAACCCUGAUGCAGCCAUGCCGCGUGUGUGAAGAAGGCCUUCGGGUUGUAAAGCACUUUCAGUUGUGAGGAAAAGUUAGUAGUUAAUACCUGCUAGCUGUGACGUUAACAACAGAAGAAGCACCGGCUAACUCCGUGCCAGCAGCCGCGGUAAUAC
This 174-nucleotide ribosomal RNA is filed under the name uncultured Alteromonas sp. RNAcentral describes it as "partial 16S ribosomal RNA". It matches the Rfam family "Bacterial small subunit ribosomal RNA", at positions 360 to 526 of the family's 1533-position model. The record is from RNAcentral. Lineage: Bacteria; Pseudomonadati; Pseudomonadota; Gammaproteobacteria; Alteromonadales; Alteromonadaceae.